This is a long non-coding RNA of Bos taurus (domestic cattle), 1038 nucleotides long. The record is from Ensembl. Lineage: Eukaryota; Metazoa; Chordata; Mammalia; Artiodactyla; Bovidae.
GAGUAGAGUUCCCUGUGCUAGACGGAAGACACCUAACCCAUUUAAGACAAAGUAUCAACCUGCUAGUUUUAGAGUUCUUCAGGAGAAUUGCUGCUGCAGCUCUUUCUGUUCAAAGAAAUAUCUUCAUAUCAGCUGGAAGUUUAACAUGAACUUUCUGCUCCAGCACUUUGUGACCCAGAACUGCCUCAACAAGCUAACAUCAACCCAGCCAGAAUAGUGAUCCUCUGUGGUGCAGAGAUAAAAAUGACUAGGACGUGAUCACCACAAACUGAAGAACCAGGACAUGAACCAGGAGGAUCUGACUCCAGAGCUCUUGUUCUUAACCACGUCAUUUAUACUGCUUCUGCAAGAAUGGCCUUUAUAUAAUUAAAAUUAUAUAAUUUAUUUUUAAAAUUUAUUAGAAGAGUAAAUCCUAAGAACACAAAAACUAACUCUUGGUCAAAACGAAUGCUUUUUUAUUGGUGUGCUGAAGAGACUGCUAGAGAGACAUGUACCUUUACUGUUAAUUUACAAGUAGGACACAGGAGCAGAAAAUGUGGUGAUAAAAGACUAUUUCUGUCUUUUUAGACAUUCAGCACAUUCUCCCAUCACCUAAUUGUUUAGAUAUGUAUUCUGCAGUGUCCUUUAGCUUCCCUACCAUAGUCAAGGCUUCCCUGGUGGCUCAGAGGUUAAAGCAUCUGCCUCCAAUGCAGGACCUGGGUUCAAUCCCUGGGUUGGGAAGAUCCCCUGGAGAAGGAAAUGGCACCCCACUCCAGUACUCUUGCCUGGAGAAUCCCAUGGACGGAAGAGCCUGGUAGGCUACAGUCCACAGGGUCGCAAAGAGUUGGACACGACUGAGCCACUUCACUUCACUUCACUUCACUUCACCAUAGUCACUGUAUAGCUAUUUGCAUGUAAGUGGUGAGGUUUAUUUUGAAUAAAGAGUGAAUGUAACUUUCAUUUUUGCCUGUAAUAUAUAAACAUGAAUCGAUAAAAAUUCUUCCUGAAUCUUCUCCAAGAAAUGGCAUGCAUUUCCAAUUAAUCUCAUAACUUUAACUG